RNAcentral lists this ribosomal RNA (449 nucleotides) under uncultured bacterium. Its description in RNAcentral is "partial 16S ribosomal RNA". It matches the Rfam family "Bacterial small subunit ribosomal RNA", at positions 338 to 795 of the family's 1533-position model. The record is from RNAcentral.
CCUACGGGAGGCUGCAGUGGGGAAUAUUGGACAAUGGGGGAAACCCUGAUCCAGCAAUGCCGCGUGUGUGAAGAAGGCCUGCGGGUUGUAAAGCACUUUCGGUUGGGAAGAAAAGUUUGGCGCCAAUACCGCCGAACCUUGACGUUACUGACAGAAGAAGCACCGGCUAACUCUGUGCCAGCAGCCGCGGUAAUACAGAGGGUGCAAGCGGUCGUCGGAAUCACGUAGCGGAACAUGCAAGUCGGUGGUCGAGUCCCCGGGCUUAACCUGGGAACUGCAUUCGAUACUACAUGGCUAGAGUAUGGUAGAGGGAAGUGGAAUUUCCGGUGUAGCGGUGAAAUGCGUAGAUAUCGGAAGGAACACCAAUGGCGAAGGCAGCUUCCUGGACUAAUACUGACACUGAGGCACGAAAGCGUGGGUAGCAAACAGGAUUAGAUACCCGUGUAGUC